Molecule: long non-coding RNA, 300 nt
Filed under: Elaeis guineensis (African oil palm)
Lineage: Eukaryota; Viridiplantae; Streptophyta; Magnoliopsida; Arecales; Arecaceae
Description: long non-coding RNA (EGUI_LNC071637)
Source: RNAcentral
CGAGUUGCUGGAGCGUGCAUGGUAGCAUCUGACAAAAAUGACGGCAAUCGAACCUACAAAAUAAGUCCUCGAUCAAAAAUGAUUCCAACAAAGACCCUCCGAUGCUCAAAUCAAAAAUUUAGAAUAGAUGGAAGAGAGCGUGCGUGAGAGUUUGCGUUCCUUGGGGGUCCUCGGUUUGUCUUUAUUUAUAGAGAAGGGAGUUGUAAGAGGAGAAAGUUGUGGGAAGCCAUCCUCACUUCCCUAGGCAUACCAUUUCAAGAUGUCCAGUCUGAUUUUCUGAUGAUUAAUGUCACCUUAUCC